CAGUCGUACCGGCGGUAUCAACCAUCUGGGUGCGAUCAUGUUGGGUGCUGAGGAGCCUAACCGCCUUCUCGCUCGCGUGUUUGUGCUCGUUGGUGUACUUAUUCGCAUGGUAGGUUAACAUCAAUUUCGGUCGUCAUAAAAUGACCGGAGGAAUGUAGCUUUGAUCUCCGUAUUAAAGUGUUAUAGCCUCUGGUAGAUGUGAUGAUCGGGGUUGAGGAUUGCAACCACCCCUCUGGGGCCACUCGUCUGGUCUCUGGUGGUCGCCCUGGUCCCCAAAGCUUGCUGAACGGUCGUCAAAGUUUUGUUUCCCAAAGGGGUAAAACCGGGAUGA
RNAcentral lists this ribosomal RNA (331 nucleotides) under uncultured Glomus. RNAcentral describes it as "eukaryotic LSU rRNA". Lineage: Eukaryota; Fungi; Glomeromycota; Glomeromycetes; Glomerales; Glomeraceae. The record is from RNAcentral.